UACGUAGGGUGCGAGCGUUAAUCGGAAUUACUGGGCGUAAAGCGUGCGCAGGCGGCUUUGCAAGACAGAUGUGAAAUCCCCGGGCUCAACCUGGGAACUGCAUUUGUGACUGCAAGGCUAGAGUACGGCAGAGGGGGAUGGAAUUCCGCGUGUAGCAGUGAAAUGCGUAGAUAUGCGGAGGAACACCAAUGGCGAAGGCAAUCCCCUGGGCCUGUACUGACGCUCAUGCACGAAAGCGUGGGGAGCAAAC
RNAcentral lists this ribosomal RNA (250 nucleotides) under uncultured bacterium. RNAcentral describes it as "partial 16S ribosomal RNA". It matches the Rfam family "Bacterial small subunit ribosomal RNA", at positions 524 to 773 of the family's 1533-position model. The record is from RNAcentral.